GGUAGGUGGAAACACUGCUACCCCGCAAGGGGGUCCAGUCGAGGUGCUGCAUGGCUGUCGUCAGCUCGUGUCGUGAGAUGUUGGGUUAAGUCCCGCAACGAGCGCAACCCUUGUCCUGUGUUGCCAUCAUUCAGUUGGGAACUCGCAGGAGACCGCCAGCGAUAAGUUGGAGGAAGGUGGGGAUGACGUCAAGUCCUCAUGGCCUUUAUGUCCAGGGCUACACACGUGCUACAAUGGCCGGUACAAAGCGUCCCGAACCCGCGAGGGGAAGGCAAUCGCAAAAAACCGGUCUCAGUUCGGAUUGCAGGCUGCAACUCGCCUGCAUGAAGCUGGAAUCGCUAGUAAUGGCAGAUCAGCACGCUGCCGUGAAUACGUUCCCGGGCCUUGUACACACCGCCCGUCACAUCACGAAAGUGGAUUGUACUAGAAGUCUGCAGGCUGACCCGCAAGGGAGGCAGCGGCCCAAGGUAUGAUCCAUGAUUGGGGUGAAGUCGUAACAAGGUAAGCGUAGUGCU
Molecule: ribosomal RNA, 515 nt
Filed under: uncultured bacterium
Lineage: Bacteria
Description: bacterial SSU rRNA
Rfam family: Bacterial small subunit ribosomal RNA
Source: RNAcentral